GUGCCAGCAGCCGCGGUAAUACGUAGGGUGCAAGCGUUGUCCGGAAUUACUGGGCGUAAAGAGCUCGUAGGUGGUUUGUCACGUCGUCUGUGAAAUUCCACAGCUUAACUGUGGGCGUGCAGGCGAUACGGGCUGACUUGAGUACUGUAGGGGUAACUGGAAUUCCUGGUGUAGCGGUGAAAUGCGCAGAUAUCUGGAGGAACACCGAUGGCGAAGG
Molecule: ribosomal RNA, 217 nt
Filed under: uncultured Actinomycetales bacterium
Lineage: Bacteria; Bacillati; Actinomycetota; Actinomycetes; Actinomycetales
Description: partial 16S ribosomal RNA
Rfam family: Bacterial small subunit ribosomal RNA
Source: RNAcentral